This 1719-nucleotide ribosomal RNA is filed under the name Acinetobacter indicus ANC 4215. RNAcentral's name for it is "bacterial LSU rRNA". It matches the Rfam family "Bacterial large subunit ribosomal RNA", at positions 1225 to 2925 of the family's 2925-position model. Lineage: Bacteria; Pseudomonadati; Pseudomonadota; Gammaproteobacteria; Moraxellales; Moraxellaceae. The record is from RNAcentral.
GUGGUAGGGGAGCGUUCUGUAAGCCGAUGAAGGUGGAUUGAGAAGUCUGCUGGAGGUAUCAGAAGUGCGAAUGCUGACGUGAGUAACGACAAAACGGGUGAAAAACCCGUUCGCUGAAAGACCAAGGGUUCCAGUCCAACGUUAAUCGGGGCUGGGUGAGUCGACCCCUAAGGCGAGGCCGAGAGGCGUAGUCGAUGGGAAAUUGGUUAAUAUUCCAAUACUUCAGUGUAAUGCGAUGAGAGGACGGAGAAGGUUAAGUCAGCCUGGCGUUGGUUGUCCAGGUGGAAGGCUGUAGGCAUGCAUCUUAGGCAAAUCCGGGGUGCUCUAUGCUGAGAGCUGAUAGCAAGCUAGUUUACUAGCGAAGUGGCUGAUACCAUGCUUCCAGGAAAAGUCUCUAAGCUUCAGUUACACUGGAAUCGUACCCGAAACCGACACAGGUGGUCAGGUCGAGUAGACCAAAGCGCUUGAGAGAACUCUGCUGAAGGAACUAGGCAAAAUGGUACCGUAACUUCGGGAGAAGGUACGCUGUUGACGGUGAUGGGACUUGCUCCCUGAGCGGUUGACAGCCGCAGAAACCAGGCCGCUGCAACUGUUUAUUAAAAACAUAGCACUCUGCAAACACGAAAGUGGACGUAUAGGGUGUGAUGCCUGCCCGGUGCUGGAAGGUUAAUUGAUGGGGUUAGCGUAAGCGAAGCUCUUGAUCGAAGCCCCAGUAAACGGCGGCCGUAACUAUAACGGUCCUAAGGUAGCGAAAUUCCUUGUCGGGUAAGUUCCGACCUGCACGAAUGGCAUAAUGAUGGCGGCGCUGUCUCCAGCAGAGGCUCAGUGAAAUCGAAAUCGCUGUGAAGAUGCAGUGUACCCGCGGCUAGACGGAAAGACCCCGUGAACCUUUACUGCAGCUUGACAUUGAACUUUGACCUUACUUGUGUAGGAUAGGUGGGAGGCUUUGAAGUUGGAACGCCAGUUCCAAUGGAGCCGUCCUUGAAAUACCACCCUGGUAAUGUUGAGGUUCUAACUCUGUCCCGUGAUCCGGGACGAGGACCAUGUCUGGUGGGUAGUUUGACUGGGGCGGUCUCCUCCUAAAGAGUAACGGAGGAGUACGAAGGUGCGCUCAGCGUGGUCGGAAAUCACGCGUAGAGUAUAAAGGCAAAAGCGCGCUUAACUGCGAGACCCACAAGUCGAGCAGGUACGAAAGUAGGUCUUAGUGAUCCGGUGGUUCUGUAUGGAAGGGCCAUCGCUCAACGGAUAAAAGGUACUCUGGGGAUAACAGGCUGAUACCGCCCAAGAGUUCAUAUCGACGGCGGUGUUUGGCACCUCGAUGUCGGCUCAUCUCAUCCUGGGGCUGAAGCAGGUCCCAAGGGUAUGGCUGUUCGCCAUUUAAAGAGGUACGCGAGCUGGGUUUAGAACGUCGUGAGACAGUUCGGUCCCUAUCUACCGUGGGCGCUGGAAAUUUGAGAGGAUCUGCUCCUAGUACGAGAGGACCAGAGUGGACGAACCUCUGGUGUACCGGUUGUGACGCCAGUCGCAUCGCCGGGUAGCUAUGUUCGGAAAGGAUAACCGCUGAAAGCAUCUAAGCGGGAAGCCUACCUCAAGAUAAGAUUUCCCUAGGAAUUUAUUCCUCUAAAGAGCCGUUCGAGACUAGGACGUUGAUAGGUUGGGUGUGGAAGCAUAGCGAUAUGUGAAGCUGACCAAUACUAAUUGCUCGUGAGGCUUGACUAU